ACUUAAACAUAUGUCUAGCAAAUAACGAUUAGAAGUCUGUAAAAAAAUCGAAAUGGCCAAUUUUUGACUUUCAAUCUCGGCAAUUCAAUUAGAGCAUAAUCUUUUUUCUUUUUACAUUGGCUAAAGUUAAUAUAGAAAAUUAAUUCUUUUAUUUAUUAUUAUUAUUUUUGUGUGAGUUUUGAUUUUUUCAGAAAAAUAGAAAUUUCGCAAUCAAAUUACAGGGUGACCACAAAGUAUCCGCACACGAGACGGUUUCAUCUUGUGAAAAUAUAAGCAUAAAACCACUUAUAAUGGUGCGCGUUUCUCCUUAUCGUCAACUUUUCUCAAUGGCCGCCAUCGACCCCCGAUCUUAACCCGAUGGAUUUCUCAGUCUGGAGCGUCCUAGAAGCAAACGCAUGCCAAAAGCCGCAUAAAAAUAUUGAAAGUUUGAAAAAAUCACUACUGAAAGCUUGGGAUUCUCUGGACCCUGCCUACUUGCUCGCGUCGAAGCAUUCCCGAAACGCCUACAGGCCUGUUAUUUUGCUGAUGGAGAAAAAUUCGAAUUCAAUCUUUGAAUCAUAAUUGUUAUAGUUCAAUAAAUGUUUUAAAAUAAAAUUUGUGUUCCAAAUACUUUCUA
Long non-coding RNA from Hydra vulgaris (swiftwater hydra), 616 nucleotides. RefSeq lists it as uncharacterized. Lineage: Eukaryota; Metazoa; Cnidaria; Hydrozoa; Anthoathecata; Hydridae. The record is from RefSeq and is a predicted model, not a curated record.